AUUGAACGCUGGCGGUAUGCCUUACACAUGCAAGUCGAACGGCAGCACGGGUGCUUGCACCUGGUGGCGAGUGGCGAACGGGUGAGUAAUACAUCGGAACAUGUCCUGUAGUGGGGGAUAGCCCGGCGAAAGCCGGAUUAAUACCGCAUACGAUCUACGGAUGACAGCGGGGGACCUUCGGGCCUCGCGCUAUAGGGUUGGCCGAUGGCUGAUUAGCUAGUUGGUGGGGUAAAGGCCUACCAAGGCGACGAUCAGUAGCUGGUCUGAGAGGACGACCAGCCACACUGGGACUGAGACACGGCCCAGACUCCUACGGGAGGCAGCAGUGGGGAAUUUUGGACAAUGGGCGAAAGCCUGAUCCAGCAAUGCCGCGUGUGUGAAGAAGGCCUUCGGGUUGUAAAGCACUUUUGUCCGGAAAGAAAUCCUUGGCCCUAAUACGGUCGGGGGAUGACGGUACCGGAAGAAUAAGCACCGGCUAACUACGUG
Molecule: ribosomal RNA, 486 nt
Filed under: uncultured bacterium
Lineage: Bacteria
Description: partial 16S ribosomal RNA
Rfam family: Bacterial small subunit ribosomal RNA
Source: RNAcentral